AUUGAACGCUGGCGGCAUGCCUUACACAUGCAAGUCGAACGGUAACAGGUCUUCGGAUGCUGACGAGUGGCGAACGGGUGAGUAAUACAUCGGAACGUGCCCGAUCGUGGGGGAUAACGAGGCGAAAGCUUUGCUAAUACCGCAUACGAUCUAAGGAUGAAAGCGAGGGAGCUUCGGACCUCGCGCGGACGGAGCGGCCGACGGCAGGUUAGGUAGAUGGCUUGAUAAAUGCUUACCAAGACGACGAUCUGUAGCUGGUCUCAGAGGAGGAUCAUCCACACUGGUAUUGAGACACGGCCCCGACUCCUACUGGAGGCAGCAGUGGGGAUUUUUCGACAAUAGGCGAAACCCUGAUCCAGCCAUCCCGCGUGCAGGAUGACGUCCUCCGGGUUGUAAACUGCUUUUUUGCGGAAAGAAAAGCUUCUUUCUAAUAGAGAGGGAUCAUGACGGUACCGUAAGAAUAAGCACCGGCUAACUACUUU
This 482-nucleotide ribosomal RNA is filed under the name uncultured bacterium. RNAcentral describes it as "partial 16S ribosomal RNA". It matches the Rfam family "Bacterial small subunit ribosomal RNA", at positions 30 to 507 of the family's 1533-position model. The record is from RNAcentral.